Molecule: non-coding RNA, 22 nt
Filed under: Rattus norvegicus (Norway rat)
Lineage: Eukaryota; Metazoa; Chordata; Mammalia; Rodentia; Muridae
Source: RNAcentral
GUGAAAUGUGAAUGUUGGCCUU